This is a long non-coding RNA of Passer domesticus (house sparrow), 5010 nucleotides long. RefSeq lists it as uncharacterized. The record is from RefSeq and is a predicted model, not a curated record. The transcript has 6 exons. Lineage: Eukaryota; Metazoa; Chordata; Aves; Passeriformes; Passeridae.
GUCCCGGCACUGAUUCACCCGCACUCCUGCGCUCAGAGGCACGGGGUGGCAAAUCCACGAAGCGAGCAGCACGACCGGCCAAACUUUCCACUAUUUUCACCUUUAAGCAAACAAAGACAUGAAUGUGUAUUGGUUACAAGCCUGCUCUGCACUGAACACCCAGAAGAGCACCGGCAGCUCCACCUGUGGCCCCCCUGGCCGGGCCUGGGCCGCGGCGUUUCCAGCACCAGAGAGACUGAUCAAAGACUGAGUGAGCCGAGCUGCAACCUGGGGAGGGGACUGUUCUGAGCUUUCUUUGGAGCAGUGCAGCUGGGAAUCUGGACCAAGUGGCCAUGAAUACUCAAGCUAUGAAAUAAAAUGAGGUUUGGAACAUAAUGGAAGUAUCUGCUGUUUAAAUGUAGCCCAUUCACUGUGGCCAUGGUGUUAUUCCUUUCUCAGCUGUUUGACAGUGUACCAGUCUUAAUAUUUGGGCUUCAAAAUGCAGAGAUGGACAGAGCACUUCCUCUCACACAGUCAGAAAGGAUUUGUUAUCAUGUGUGCCUAAUAAGAGACCUCCCUUCCACCCAGGAGUUCUACUCAUGGCUUUGCAUUGCCAAAGACACAGGAUUUCUUCUGUCUUGUCAGGAUAAUGGUUUGUGUGAACGUACAGGGACAGACACAUUGAUUCAACAAACACACCACUAAUGGACAUAAAGGCUGGGUCAGACCAAAACAAGAGAAGGGGUAAGAUAUGUGUGACAGAACUAGCAGUAUGGUUGCUGCAAUUAGCUGUUACUAAUUGCCACAAGUGGUGUUCUUCAGGAGGUAUGGAAAAUGCACCAAAGGGGGUGGCCAGGUAGUGCAGAGGACACUGCUUGAGAUCCACAGGUGUACAAAAGCAAGUGCUCCCAGAGGUGAGGAGGAAGAAGAAGACUCCUCCAAAGGGUCAACACGUGCAGCAGGAGCUUGGGCUGUCCCUGUGAGAGCCCCCUGGGUGCUGUGGGAUGUGGGAGCUGGGCACCAGCUGAAGGGGUGCUUGGAGUAGGGCUGUUGGUUUGUGGUCAUGAGGAGAGCUCUCCUGGCUUCCUGGCUUCCCCCAUUGUUCCUUGGUAUCCUGCUUGCCGUGUAACUUGGCAAAAAAGGCACUUCCCUCCCUGUGCCCUGACCCCAGACCCAGCUGUGGGAGGCUGGGGGUCACAGUCUGCAUGUCAGCAGAUCUUCUCUGGUGGUGCUGGGCCAACAACGUGCAGAAGCACCUCCAGCCUUUGCUUCCCCCUUUGCAUCUGCCAGGAAGGGUGGAAGGACACACAGUCACAGCCCAGAAGAGUUUGUGAAAGAGCCUUAAGCCGUGCAGACGCAGUUUGAUGGAUGCUCUGCUGCCUACAAGCUAUUUCCAGUUAAAGAAAGCAGAAAGAGUCUCUAGGAGGGACAACUGACCAUGCUCUUCUGCAAGAAGAAGGGCAGAAGCAUAUAAAAUAGUCUCACACUUAGGGUAUAUUCUGUAUUGAUCAUUUCCUAUCAAUUUCAGUUCAUUUGCCCAUUCCCACCUCAGUAUUCAUUUUUGAUAUGCACUGAGUAGGAACCAUUGUCUGUCUGGACCUGGAAAGAUUGUGGGGGUUUUUUCUGCUUGCUUCAUUAAAUAGUGAUUUUCAGUCUGGCAAACAUUCCAAAUGCCCCUUGUUUCUCUCCCUCCAGUGUGAUUAGCACAGCAGAUUACACAACAGUGAGUUAGAAGGUGAUUAUUACUCUCUAUGCUGACAAACUCAUUUUCUCUCACUUUCCUUUGGGUUUUAAAGCAAACUGUACCCUUCAUGGGUCUUAUAAAUCUGUGUGUUUUCUCCUUCCAGUCUGACUUUGUUUCGUGAGCUGUGCCCAAAACUCCACUCUGUGUUCUUUCAGUUUCUCUGCUGCCUUUUGCUCCAGGUCUAUUCCCAGGUAUUUUUCCUCCAGGUCAUACUGAGGCCAAUGGACCAAGCCCUCUCCGUUGGGAUUUCUGGAAAUAAUAGGAGGAAAAGUUAGCUCUCCACUUGCCAAUCCAUUGCUCUCUGGCUGCUCAGGUUCAGAGCAUUUCAGAAAGCCAGCAGGUGAGCCCAGAUGAUGUGAUUCUGCUACCUGAAUAAAUUGGCAGUAGUUUUGGAAAAGGCUCAUCAGUGGAACAGCAAAAGUGUAAAAGUUGCCAUUAACUUUAGAUCUAAAACUCCUUUGCAGAUGGAGUAACUGCUCUUAGAUUUUUUUCUUCCUCAUGUCUGCAGGUUCUUUUAAAAGACCAUUAGCAGAAGAAAUUGCUUCAAUAUUUACCUUAAAUUGUGCCAAAUUUCUAGGAACCACCAUAUAAGUACUGCUUGAGGCAGGCAAGUAUGUUGUGGGCAGCACAGACUGAACUUGAGCUGUAAUCAGCAUAGUGAUUCUCACCCAUUUUUAGCAAAGUUGGUCCAGUAUCUCAUAACAGUUCUGCUGAAUUCAUUUUCUUCUUUUGUAGCACCUCCUGCAAAGGGAGAGAUGAAAGGGCCACAUUAGAAAAUAAAAAAUGAGUAUGAGCUAUAUCCAUUGCAACACUUCUCCUGGUUGCCCUGAGCUCUUAGAGGUGUUUCCAGGACAGAAUGAUGUAAUGGAAAGGAUCUGCUACUGAGGACAGAGGAUGUUUAUGCUCAUAGUAAUGCUUAUGAUAUAUAAGGUCCUCCAGAAUCAUCUGUGCCAUUUUCUUUUCCUUGCCCUGGUAGAGCAUGACAGCAAAGCACAGGUAUCUCCAAGUGCAUGCAGAAUGGAAGGGCAGGAACCUGUUUGCACUUGUCAGGUGAGCUCUCAUUGCAGAUCAGCAGUGCUGUCAUGUCCUGAAAAAUCAAGAAAGAUUUUACAUGCACUUCAGGUUCUCCUGCUAUUACAUCCCACAAAGAGUAUUCUCUGGGAUGAAAAGGUCUGAGAUGUCAUUUAAAUGCAAGAACUAUCAUUUCACCUACCAUUUUCAGUGUUAUCUGUAGCAGUUCUUCUUCUGUUUUUCCUCUCAGGCAUUCAACCAUUGCAGCUGAACUGGAUUUUUCACAGCCAGAGACAGCAGCAAUUUUCUGCAAGCAGUGAGAACAAACAGUUUUGGCCACAUUUCCUCUGUCUGGCUCUGCGAGACACUGAGUCCAGCAGGAGCAGCCAAAGCUCCUGCACAAAGGUUCCUGGAGCCUGGCUUGUCCCAGCUCCAGAGGCAGGGCACUGGAAGCCCUCACAAUCCUUCACACCACAGGCUGGGCAGAAGGGAAAACCUCUGCCUGCAAGAUGUUUUGAUACAGAAAUAUUCUAAGACAAUUCUGGUAAAUAACAUACUGGGCUGAGAAGGCUGGGUGACAUACAGGAGUUAGAGAAUAAACAACCAUCUGCAGGGUAACAGAGAGCACAUUCUACCAGUCUUGGGGACAUCUUUUGGGCUGGAGCAAGAGCUGUCAUUAGAGAGAGCUGUCUCUCUUAUGUCCCAGCUUCCAGGUUCUGGAAAUUGCUCCUUGCAGUUGAAGAGAAAAGAAAGGGGUGGAAGCCUGUAGUUCUCAAAUUAAAAAAGGGGAAUAAAGACCUGUUUAUUUGCACACUACCAGCAUCAAACAGGAGGGGAAGAGAAGAGUAUUCAGAGUCUGGUGCCAUUUUCCAGCCAAAAAGUAUAUUGAAAAUGGAUGGAGGGGUUAUUUCCACUAAGUAAUUACAGUUCAAUAUUACUGUGAACUUACAAGAGCAGAAACACUGAUUCCUCCUGCAGAUUCUCCAAAGAUGGUGACAGAUGCUGGAUCUCCUCCAAAAUGCAGGAUAUUUUCCUGAAUCCACCGAAGAGCCGCCACUUGGUCUAAAUAUCCCCAGUUACCUCGGGCAUGCUCAUCACCAGUGCUGCAGGGAGAGAACAGAGGUGUUCAAAUGCUCAAUGCAAGCAGAGAGGCAGAGGAAGAUACAAUCUGUGCUCUAAGAAAUCAUCUGCCAUUCUCUACACAGCAGUUCCCUACACGACUGACAAAUGGAUGGCUCGGGAAGCCCUGAGAUUGGAGCAGCAGCCCCACAAGAACAGAUCUGGAGGCUGCCUUGGGACUGCAAAUUGUCCCCAGUGCUUGUAGGUGCAGUUCAGAAAUGUUUCUUUGCAUAAGCAAGUCUUCUGCACGUCUCUUUACAAAGGCUUUGCACACAUCCUUUUGGAAAUCACUUUGGACAAAUUGAGAUCCACAAGCUUACCUAAAAUACCCAGCAAUACCCAGUCUGUACUGAAUUGCUACAACCACCACGUUGUCCAAGGCUGCUAAUGCUGAGCCAUCAUAUGACGAAGCUGCUCCAAAAACUAAUCCACCUCCAUGGAUCCAUACCAAGACCUGAAAAGAGAUAAAGAGAAUCAGCCCAGCACAGACACCUGAAUGAAUGAAAAAGAAAGAAGCAAGAGAGAAAUCACUAAAACCUGAAAGCUGUGAAGAGAAGCCUUUUUGGUACUUCCACAACAAUGUGCCAAGCAGGAACUGAUCUCCAGCUCCGUUCUAGAUUGGUAUGUGAAAUACAUAUGAAAAUAGAAAUGAAUCAUUUUACAUCCCCAACAGCUUUUUACAUUGCAAAGGUAGAUUUCAGCCCUGAGACACUAAACAGGGGCAGUAGGACAAUGGGAGUGAGACAUUUACAAGGUAGGUCAGAUUUGUUGUGCAUUUCUUAUGUGCCCUUUUAAGCACUUGAUUCAGCAUUUUGCCCUCGUGUUGCAUUCCAACAUUUCCUCAGCUGCUCUCUGUCUCUGCUCCAAAGGUUUCUAGUGAUUGGUGAGUGAUGGGCAAGUGCUCCUGAGCCAGAGCAUUGUCUGUCAGUGCUGCUCCAUCUCAGUUCAUCACUGCUGCCUGGGAAGCAGCAGCUUUUGGGAAAGAGAGCAGCUCACAGAGUGUCUUUAGAAAUGCAUGCACUGGAACAGCUGCAGGUGCAAUGAGGGGGCACCAAGGCAUUUGCCUUCAUGGAUGGCCCAGUGUGCACAGCAGUGUCAUGGAAGUGCAGAGCUGGACAUGGGGAAAGGUUCCGGGUUUGAUCAUUGCCUUACAUUGG